UACGUAGGUGGCAAGCGUUGUCCGGAUUUAUUGGGUUUAAAGGGUGCGUAGGCGGCCCUGUAAGUCAGUGCUGAAAUAUCCCGGCUUAACCGGGAGGGUGGCAUUGAUACUGCGGGGCUAGAGUACAGAUGAGGUAGGCGGAAUUGACGGUGUAGCGGUGAAAUGCUUAGAUAUCGUCAAGAACACCUAUAGCGAAGGCAGCUUACUAGGCUGUAACUGACGCUGAGGCACGAAAGCGUGGGGAGCAAACAGG
RNAcentral lists this ribosomal RNA (253 nucleotides) under uncultured bacterium. RNAcentral's name for it is "partial 16S ribosomal RNA". It matches the Rfam family "Bacterial small subunit ribosomal RNA", at positions 524 to 776 of the family's 1533-position model. The record is from RNAcentral.